CUACACAUGCAGUCGAGCGGUAGAGAGAAGCUUGCUUCUCUUGAGAGCGGCGGACGGGUGAGUAAUGCCUAGGAAUCUGCCUGGUAGUGGGGGAUAACGUUCGGAAACGGACGCUAAUACCGCAUACGUCCUACGGGAGAAAGCAGGGGACCUUCGGGCCUUGCGCUAUCAGAUGAGCCUAGGUCGGAUUAGCUAGUUGGUGAGGUAAUGGCUCACCAAGGCGACGAUCCGUAACUGGUCUGAGAGGAUGAUCAGUCACACUGGAACUGAGACACGGUCCAGACUCCUACGGGAGGCAGCAGUGGGGAAUAUUGGACAAUGGGCGAAAGCCUGAUCCAGCCAUGCCGCGUGUGUGAAGAAGGUCUUCGGAUUGUAAAGCACUUUAAGUUGGGAGGAAGGGUUGUAGAUUAAUACUCUGCAAUUUUGACGUUACCGACAGAAUAAGCACCGGCUAACUCUGUGCCAGCAGCCGCGGUAAUACAGAGGGUGCAAGCGUUAAUCGGAAUUACUGGGCGUAAAGCGCGCGUAGGUGGUUUGUUAAGUUGGAUGUGAAAUCCCCG
This 560-nucleotide ribosomal RNA is filed under the name bacterium amp-d-10. RNAcentral's name for it is "bacterial SSU rRNA". It matches the Rfam family "Bacterial small subunit ribosomal RNA", at positions 49 to 605 of the family's 1533-position model. The record is from RNAcentral.